CGGAAGUCGGAGGUUAAAMCCUCCCUAGUGCU
RNAcentral lists this transfer RNA (32 nucleotides) under Salvelinus taranetzi. Its description in RNAcentral is "partial tRNA-Thr". Lineage: Eukaryota; Metazoa; Chordata; Actinopteri; Salmoniformes; Salmonidae. The record is from RNAcentral.